UGGGGAAUAUUGGGCAAUGGGCGAAAGCCUUACCCAGCAACGCCGCGUGAGGGAAGAAGGUUUUCGGAUUGUAAACCUCUGUCCUGGGGGACGAAGGAAGUGACGGUACCCCGGGAGGAAGCCCCGGCUAACUACGUGCCAGCAGCCGCGGUAAUACGUAGGGGGCGAGCGUUGUCCGGAAUUAUUGGGCGUAAAGGGCGCGUAGACGGCCGAGUAAGUUAUAGGUGAAAGCCCAUCUUUCAAGGAUGGAAUUGCCUGUAAUACUGCCUGGCUUGAGUGCAGGAGAGGGAAGCGGAAUUCCUAGUGUAGCGGUGAAAUGCGUAGAUAUUAGGAGGAACACCAGUGGCGAAGGCGGCUUUCUGGACUGCAACUGACGUUGAGGCGCGAAAGCGUGGGGAGCAGACAGGAUUAGAUACC
This 417-nucleotide ribosomal RNA is filed under the name uncultured bacterium. Its description in RNAcentral is "bacterial SSU rRNA". It matches the Rfam family "Bacterial small subunit ribosomal RNA", at positions 355 to 786 of the family's 1533-position model. The record is from RNAcentral.